This 505-nucleotide ribosomal RNA is filed under the name uncultured bacterium. RNAcentral's name for it is "partial 16S ribosomal RNA". It matches the Rfam family "Bacterial small subunit ribosomal RNA", at positions 28 to 507 of the family's 1533-position model. The record is from RNAcentral.
GACGAACGCUGGCGGCGUGCCUAAUACAUGCAAGUGGGACGCAAGGAAACACACUGUGCUUGCACACCGUGUUUUCUUGAGUCGCGAACGGGUGAGUAACGCGUAGGUAACCUGCCUAUUAGCGGGGGAUAACUAUUGGAAACGCUAGCUAAUACCGCAUAUUAUUAAUUAUUGCAUGAUAAUUGAUUGAAAGAUGCAAGCGCAUCACUAGUAGAUGGACCUGCGUUGUAUUAGCUAGUUGGUAAGGUAAGAGCUUACCAAGGCGACGAUACAUAGCCGACCUGAGAGGGUGAUCGGCCACACUGAGACUGAGACACGGCCCAGACUCCUACGGGAGGCAGCAGUAGGGAAUCUUCGGCAAUGGACGAAAGUCUGACCGAGCAACGCCGCGUGAGUGAAGAAGGUUUUCGGAUCGUAAAGCUCUGUUGUAAGUCAAGAACGUGUGUGAGAGUGGAAAGUUCACACAGUGACGGUAGCUUACCAGAAAGGGACGGCUAACUACGUG